RNAcentral lists this long non-coding RNA (207 nucleotides) under Nicotiana benthamiana. Its description in RNAcentral is "long non-coding RNA (NBEN_LNC017029)". Lineage: Eukaryota; Viridiplantae; Streptophyta; Magnoliopsida; Solanales; Solanaceae. The record is from RNAcentral.
UCAAUCUUAGCUUUCAGCCGAUUGAGUGUUGUAUAGAAACAAUAGAGAAAGAAAGAGCACUGAGUGUUUUCGAAAGAGAGUUCAGAGAGAUUGAAAUUGUAUCUGUAUGGGUGUGAGAUAUCCAAUAUGUUGGUGUCCUAUGCAGAAGAGAAUGGGGGUACUUAUAGUACUGAAACGAGCAAACAAACAAGGUAGCAGUCUAUAAAU